AAAGAACGCUGGCGGCAGGCCUAACACAUGCAAGUCGAGCGAGGACUUCGGUUCUAGCGGCGGACGGGUGAGUAACGCGUGGGAAUGUGCCCUUCUCUACGGAAUAGCUCUGGGAAACUGGGAGUAAUACCGUAUACGCCCUAUUGGGGAAAGAUUUAUCGGAGAAGGAUCAGCCCGCGUUGGAUUAGGUAGUUGGUGGGGUAAUGGCCUACCAAGCCGACGAUCCAUAGCUGGUUUGAGAGGAUGAUCAGCCACACUGGGACUGAGACACGGCCCAGACUCCUACGGGAGGCAGCAGUGGGGAAUCUUAGACCAUGGGGGCAACCCUGAUCUAGCCAUGCCGCGUGAGUGAUGAAGGCCUUAGGGUUGUAAAGCUCUUUCAGCUGGGAAGAUAAUGACGGUACCAGCAGAAGAAGCCCCGGCUAACUCCGUG
RNAcentral lists this ribosomal RNA (433 nucleotides) under uncultured bacterium. RNAcentral describes it as "partial 16S ribosomal RNA". It matches the Rfam family "Bacterial small subunit ribosomal RNA", at positions 31 to 507 of the family's 1533-position model. The record is from RNAcentral.